UCGGCUAUGCGUUUUAAUUUUUGACUCUAUUUGUUGUGGUGCUAUGAGUUUUUAGUUUGUUUUUAUAUUGUUUUUUGUAAAAUAUUUUAAUUUUUUUCUAGUUUCUUAUGGUAUCAAAAAUUUGUUUUUUGAACUGGAUUAGUACCCAGGUAAUCAAAAUUUAAUAAUUCGGGAGUAAAGUUUUAUUUAAACCGAAAAAAUAUUGACUGACUUUAGAUUUUUCUUUGGAAUAUGUGAUUUGCUGGAGAGCCCUCUUUUUUGGUGAAUUUUGUUGGCACAUGUAUGAUUGUUUAGUUUUUAUUUUAUUUUGUAAUGCUUUAUUGUUUUGGCAUCAAAAACAGAUAUAUAUUUGGCUUAUGAAUUUAUGUUUCAUGUGUUACUAUUAUGAAUUUUUUUUGGAUUAGUUUUUUAUUUUUUUUUGAAAUUGGAAAAGAAGGUAAUUUUUUCUUAAUGUUUUAAUGAAUUUAAUGAAUAAGGUGGUACAAACCAUCCGUCGAUGGCCUAAAGGGGCGUAAGUUG
This 519-nucleotide non-coding RNA is filed under the name Onchocerca volvulus. The record is from RNAcentral. Lineage: Eukaryota; Metazoa; Nematoda; Chromadorea; Rhabditida; Onchocercidae.